GCGCGAAAGCCUCUUGAAUCCAUUAUUAGAAGAUACAUAUAGAAUUAGUCCCAUUUUGAAAUAUGAAAUUUGUAAUUUCGAAAAUAAUACUCCAGUGAACCCUCUUAGCACUAAUAUUCUGAUGGCUCAUCAAAUGAAUCAGACAAGGUUGGGCGACUCAUGCGAUGGAAAUUUUUAGCGGCAUAUACAUGAUUUUGCAAGAAUGGUGGAAUUUCAUCUUCGCACACCUCGGGUAGUUCUUUCCAAUCAAAUAACUUCUCUACGCUACUUAGCCAAUCAAGAAAGUCCUCAGGAUGCAAGGAUGCAAUCGGCCAUGGAAAGUUCUACUUUAUUCUUACAUACACACUAAUAUGAUGAGGAACUUACUUUAGCAAAAAUAUAUAGACAAUAAUGUUCAUUAAAAAGAAGGGUAAGACAGCUGAGAACGGCGCAAGGAUGUUAAACUUGAUGAUGUGGUUUUCAAUUUUGUCCAAAUAUAUGCCAAACUGUACAAGUAAGGAAGGAAUAUGAACAAUACAUAGAGAUACUUUCAUAUGGAAAUUGUGGUGUAUGCAUUGGAGGUGCUUCUCCCUUUUUUCCAUAUUUCAAUCAAAAUGUGCCCAAAUGCCUAAGCAUUUUUAAUCUUGCCUACCGCUGAGUGGUGCUAGAACCCGUCACCCAUCCUGGUUCAUAAAUAGUUUUCG
This is a long non-coding RNA of Capsicum annuum, 683 nucleotides long. RefSeq lists it as uncharacterized. NCBI's taxonomy places the organism in Eukaryota, Viridiplantae, Streptophyta, Magnoliopsida, Solanales, Solanaceae. The transcript has 2 exons. The record is from RefSeq and is a predicted model, not a curated record.